RNAcentral lists this unclassified non-coding RNA (200 nucleotides) under soil metagenome. Its description in RNAcentral is "partial contains internal transcribed spacer 2 and large subunit ribosomal RNA". The record is from RNAcentral.
CCUGUUCGAGCGUCAUUGCACCUCUCAAGCGUAGCUUGGUCUUGGACAUCGUCGUAAUUGACGUGUCUGAAAAAGAGUGGCGGUUCAGUUGAACUUCAAGCGUAGUAAAAUUGUCGCUUUGGAAGCUUUUUCUUGGAUUUGCCAAAUUGUAUAUUUCAAUGAUUGACCUCGGAUCAGGUAGGGAUACCCGCUGAACUUAA